This 253-nucleotide ribosomal RNA is filed under the name uncultured bacterium. RNAcentral describes it as "partial 16S ribosomal RNA". It matches the Rfam family "Bacterial small subunit ribosomal RNA", at positions 524 to 776 of the family's 1533-position model. The record is from RNAcentral.
UACGAAGGACCCGAGCGUUAUCCGGAUUUAUUGGGUUUAAAGGGUGCGUAGGCGGAUUAGUAAGUCAGUGGUGAAAGCCCAUCGCUUAACGGUGGAAUUGCCAUUGAUACUGCUAGUCUUGAGUAUGGUUGAGGUGGGCGGAAUGUGUCAUGUAGCGGUGAAAUGCUUAGAUAUGACCCAGAACACCAAUUGCGAAGGCAGCUCGCUAAACCAUAACUGACGCUGAUGCACGAAAGCGUGGUGAGCAAACAGG